This 497-nucleotide ribosomal RNA is filed under the name uncultured bacterium. Its description in RNAcentral is "partial 16S ribosomal RNA". The stretch from base 54 to 497 matches the Rfam family "Bacterial small subunit ribosomal RNA", at positions 38 to 507 of the family's 1533-position model. The record is from RNAcentral.
GGGGGGCGGUGGGGGGGGGGGGGGGGCGGGCGGGGCGGGCGGGGAGGCGGGGGGGGGGCGGGUCGGACGUGGGCGGGGGACGGGUGAGUAACACGUGGAUAACCUACCUAUAAGACUGGGAUAACUUCGGGAAACCGGAGCUAAUACCGGAUAAUAUAUUGAACCGCAUGGUUCAAUAGUGAAAGACGGUUUUGCUGUCACUUAUAGAUGGAUCCGCGCCGCAUUAGCUAGUUGGUAAGGUAACGGCUUGCCAAGGCAACGAUGCGUAGCCGACCUGAGAGGGUGAUCGGCCACACUGGAACUGAGACACGGUCCAGACUCCUACGGGAGGCAGCAGUAGGGAAUCUUCCGCAAUGGGCGAAAGCCUGACGGAGCAACGCCGCGUGAGUGAUGAAGGUCUUCGGAUCGUAAAACUCUGUUAUUAGGGAAGAACAAAUGUGUAAGUAACUAUGCACGUCUUGACGGUACCUAAUCAGAAAGCCACGGCUAAUUACGUG